GAUGAACGCUAGCGGCAGGCUUAAUACAUGCAAGUCGAGGGGCAGCAUGAGUGUAGCAAUACAUUUGAUGGCGACCGGCAAACGGGUGCGGAACACGUACAGAACCUUCCUUCGAGCGGGGAAUAGCCCAGAGAAAUUUGGAUUAAUACCCCAUAGUACAACGGAGUGGCAUCACUUUGUUGUUAAAGAUUUAUCACUUGAAGAUGGCUGUGCGGCUGAUUAGGUAGUUGGCGGGGUAACGGCCCACCAAGCCUGCGAUCAGUAACUGGUGUGAGAGCACGACCAGUCACACGGGCACUGAGACACGGGCCCGACUCCUACGGGAGGCAGCAGUGGGGAAUUUUGGACAAUGGGCGCAAGCCUGAUCCAGCAAUGCCGCGUGCAGGAAGAAGGCC
RNAcentral lists this ribosomal RNA (395 nucleotides) under uncultured bacterium. RNAcentral describes it as "bacterial SSU rRNA". It matches the Rfam family "Bacterial small subunit ribosomal RNA", at positions 28 to 416 of the family's 1533-position model. The record is from RNAcentral.